This 484-nucleotide ribosomal RNA is filed under the name uncultured bacterium. Its description in RNAcentral is "partial 16S ribosomal RNA". It matches the Rfam family "Bacterial small subunit ribosomal RNA", at positions 30 to 507 of the family's 1533-position model. The record is from RNAcentral.
AUUGAACGCUGGCGGCAGGCCUAACACAUGCAAGUCGAGCGGAUGAAGGGAGCUUGCUCCUGGAUUCAGCGGCGGACGGGUGAGUAAUGCCUAGGAAUCUGCCUGGUAGUGGGGGAUAACGUCCGGAAACGGGCGCUAAUACCGCAUACGUCCUGAGGGAGAAAGUGGGGGAUCUUCGGACCUCACGCUAUCAGAUGAGCCUAGGUCGGAUUAGCUAGUUGGUGGGGUAAAGGCCUACCAAGGCGACGAUCCGUAACUGGUCUGAGAGGAUGAUCAGUCACACGGGAACUGAGACACGGUCCAGACUCCUACGGGAGGCAGCAGUGGGGAAUAUUGGACAAUGGGCGAAAGCCUGAUCCAGCCAUGCCGCGUGUGUGAAGAAGGUCUUCGGAUUGUAAAGAACUUUAAGUUGGGAGGAAGGGCAGUAAGUUAAUACCUUGCUGUUUUGACGUUACCAACAGAAUAAGCACCGGCUAACUUCGUG